This 200-nucleotide unclassified non-coding RNA is filed under the name uncultured Pyrenochaetopsis. RNAcentral describes it as "sequence contains ITS2". The record is from RNAcentral. Lineage: Eukaryota; Fungi; Ascomycota; Dothideomycetes; Pleosporales; Cucurbitariaceae.
UUAAGUUCAGCGGGUAUCCCUACCUGAUCCGAGGUCAAACGUUGAAAAAAGGCUUCAUGGACGCCGACGCAGAGGGGAGAGACGCAAAUUGUGCUGCGCUCUACCAUCAGUACGUUGGCCGCCAAUCGCUUUCAGACGAGUCCUUUGCAGGACAAACGCCCAACACCAAGCAGUGCUUGAGGGUACAAAAUGACGCUCGA